GAUGAACGCUGACAGAAUGCUUAACACAUGCAAGUCUUUGGCGAAGCUGUGCUUGCACAGCCUAGCCAAGGCGGACGGGUGAGUAACGCGUAAGGAACUUGCCCUGCAGUCAGGGAUAACAGACGGAAACGACUGAUAAGACCUGGUAAAGUCAGGCGGACUCAUGUCCAGCCUGAUGAAAAGAGAUGCUGCAGGAGAGCCUUGCGUCCUAUUAGCUUGUUGGUGGGGUAACGGCCCACCAAGGCGAUGAUAGGUAGCCGGCCUGAGAGGGUGGACGGCCACAAGGGGACUGAGAUACGGCACUUACUCCUACGGGAGGCAGCAGUGGGGAAUAUUGGACAAUGGGGGCAACCCUGAUCCAGCAAUUCUGUGUGCAAGAUGAAGGUUUUCGGAUUGUAAAGUGCUUUCAGCAGGGAAGAAAAAAAUGACGGUACCUGCAGAAGAAGCGACGGCUAACUACGUG
This 463-nucleotide ribosomal RNA is filed under the name uncultured bacterium. RNAcentral describes it as "partial 16S ribosomal RNA". It matches the Rfam family "Bacterial small subunit ribosomal RNA", at positions 28 to 507 of the family's 1533-position model. The record is from RNAcentral.